CUUGGGGCGGCAUACCCCGGGAAACUGGGGAUAAUUCCGGAUAACGCAUAUUUGCUGGAAUGCUUUAUGCGUCAAAAGGAUUCGUCUGCCCAAGGAUGGGUCUGCGGCCUAUCAGGUAGUAGUGGGUGUAAUGUACCUACUAGCCAGCGACGGGUACGGGUUGUGAGAGCAAGAGCCCGGAGAUGGAUUCUGAGACAUGAAUCCAGGCCCUACGGGGCGCAAGCAGGCGCGAAAACUUUACAAUGCGGGAAACCGUGAUAAGGGGACACCGAGUGCCAGCAUCAUAUGCUGGCUGUCCGGAUGUGUAAAAUACAUCCGUUAGCAAGGGCCGGGCAAGACCGGUGCCAGCCGCCGCGGUAACACCGGCGGCCCGAGUGGUGAUCGUGAUUAUUGGGUCUAAAGGGUCCGUAGCCGGUUUGGUCAGUCCUCCGGGAAAUCUGAUAGCUCAACUAUUAGGCUUUCGGGGGAUACUGCCAGACUUGGAACCGGGAGAGGUAAGAGGUACUACAGGGGUAGGAGUGAAAUCUUGUAAUCCCUGUGGGACCACCUGUGGCGAAGGCGUCUUACCAGAACGGGUUCGACGGUGAGGGACGAAAGCUGGGGGCACGAACCGGAUUAGAUACCCGGGUAGUCCCAGCCGUAAACGAUGCUCGCUAGGUGUCAGGCAUGGCGCGACCGUGUCUGGUGCCGCAGGGAAGCCGUGAAGCGAGCCACCUGGGA
Molecule: ribosomal RNA, 720 nt
Filed under: uncultured Methanosarcinaceae archaeon
Lineage: Archaea; Methanobacteriati; Methanobacteriota; Methanomicrobia; Methanosarcinales; Methanosarcinaceae
Description: SSU rRNA
Rfam family: Archaeal small subunit ribosomal RNA
Source: RNAcentral